GACGAACGCUGGCGGCGUGCUUAACACAUGCAAGUCGAACGGAAAGGCCCUGCUUUUGUGGGGUUCUCGAUUGGCGAACGGGUGAGUAACACGUGAGUAACCUGCCCUUGACUUUGGGAUAACUUCAGGAAACUGGGGCUAAUACCGGAUAGGAGCUCCUGCUGCAUGGUGGGGGUUGGAAAGUUUCGGCGGUUGGGGAUGGACUCGCGGCUUAUCAGCUUGUUGGUGGGGUAGUGGCUUACCAAGGCUUUGACGGGUAGCCGGCCUGAGAGGGUGACCGGCCACAUUGGGACUGAGAGACGGCCCAGACUGCUACGGGAGGCAGCAGGGGGGAAUAUUGCACAAUGGGCGGAAGCCUGAUGCAGCAACGCCGCGUGCGGGAUGACGGCCUUCGGGUUGUAAACCGCUUUCGCCUGUGACGAAGCGUGAGUGACGGUAAUGGGUAAAGAAGCACCGGCUAACUACGUG
This 468-nucleotide ribosomal RNA is filed under the name uncultured bacterium. RNAcentral's name for it is "partial 16S ribosomal RNA". It matches the Rfam family "Bacterial small subunit ribosomal RNA", at positions 28 to 507 of the family's 1533-position model. The record is from RNAcentral.